UAGCGUUCCAUAGUCUCCCAUUGUUCUGACUCCAAAAUGCUGACCAUCCUUUUUUUGUCUUUCUUCAAAAAGCAGAUUAUGUUUAAUCUUGAAGAUGAUGAAGUAGUUUGGGUGCUGAAAUCUUCACUGAGCUGAGUUGAUGUCUAUCAACAGGGACCAUGGUCAUUCACAAGAUGCGAUGUGGAAGAUACUGGAAGUGCUGACUAUUGGAUCUGUAUGGAUGGGCAUUGAUGGAGGGUACAUGUGCAAGGAGCAGCUUCGUAAGUUUUAGCAAAGAUUUAGGCGAAUGAGCUAUAUGAGAUGAAGUACUCCCAAUAUCGAGGCUAAUCAACGCUUUAUGGACUAUUGGCUUGCCAUCAUCCGAAGAAAGACUUUGCAAGUCUAGCUAUAUAAGUUCAACUGUUCAGGCGAUGACCUCAAAUAAUGAGACGACAUAAUCAAAAUCUUGAGGCUAAUCAACGCUUUUUGGACUGUUUGCAACCAUCCGAAGAAAGACUGUGUCAAGUCUACCCAGAUGAUUCUCUGCUACAGUUCAACUCGUCAAGUGAUAUAGUGGUGUUGAGACCACAUACAGUAACGUUUUUGGACUGUCGCCAACUGAAGAAAGACUAGCCGAUAACUCUCUGCAUACAGGUCAAUUACUGUUCAAGUGGUGUUGAUGCUACAUUUUGUAAGUUUGGAGUGCCGCCAACUGAAGAAAGACUGUGUCAAGUCUACCCAGACGACUUUCUGCUACAGUUCAACUCAAGUGAUUUCAUGUAGUAAUGUUGAUGCUACAUUUUAGUUUGGAUUGUCAUACUAAAGAAAGACUGUGUUAAGUCUACUCAAAAUGACUCUCUGCAAGUUCAGCUCAGUGCUCAAGAGAUGAAGUGAUCUCGAUACCUUCAUUGCAAUUGACGGUCAACAAAUGAACAAACACUGUCAAUUCUCGCCGGAUGAACUCCUACACAAUGUUCAACUGAUACAAGCUGGACCAUUAUGAUAAUCUAAUGGGAGACUUUUUGGACGCUUGGUGGCAGCAGACUUACCACGUAAA
Molecule: long non-coding RNA, 1036 nt
Organism: Asterias rubens (European starfish)
Lineage: Eukaryota; Metazoa; Echinodermata; Asteroidea; Forcipulatida; Asteriidae
Exons: 4
Source: RefSeq, a predicted model, not a curated record